RNAcentral lists this unclassified non-coding RNA (209 nucleotides) under Hevea brasiliensis (rubber tree). The record is from RNAcentral. Lineage: Eukaryota; Viridiplantae; Streptophyta; Magnoliopsida; Malpighiales; Euphorbiaceae.
GUCAAAAUCUAUUUUCAACUGAAGAGAGAUAUGGGAAGAUUUUGGAGAUGAUUCCAGAUGAAUCUGUUACUUCUGAGCUUCAGGGAAAGUGGCAGAAUAAUAAACGAUCCUCCAUUUCAAAAGAAGACAUUAAUCUUGUUCGAUGGGAGCAGCUAAAGCAUUCAUUACAAUCUGGACAAAAGAAGGCACAAGGACUUCGUAGAUGUGUU